RNAcentral lists this ribosomal RNA (252 nucleotides) under uncultured bacterium. Its description in RNAcentral is "partial 16S ribosomal RNA". It matches the Rfam family "Bacterial small subunit ribosomal RNA", at positions 524 to 776 of the family's 1533-position model. The record is from RNAcentral.
GACAGAGGGUGCAAACGUUGCUCGGAAUCACUGGGCGUAAAGGGCUCGUAGGUGGCCAACUAAGUCAGACGUGAAAUCCCUCGGCUUAACCGGGGAACUGCGUCUGAUACUGGAUGGCUUGAGUUCGGGAGAGGGAUGCGGAAUUCCAGGUGUAGCGGUGAAAUGCGUAGAUAUCUGGAGGAACACCGGUGGCGAAGGCGGCAUCCUGGACCGACACUGACACUGAGGAGCGAAAGCCAGGGAGCAAACGGG